UACGGAGGGUGCAAGCGUUAUCCGGAAUCAUUGGGCGUAAAGCGUCCGCAGGCUGUCUGUUAAGUCAAGUAUUAAAUCUCGGGGCCCAACUCCGAGGCCGUGCUUGAAACUGGCAGACUAGAGUCUUUCAGAGGUGCGUGGAAUUCUGUGUGUAGGGGUAAAAUCCGUAGAUACACAGAGGAACACCAAAAGCGAAGGCAGCGCACUGGGAAAGUACUGACGCUCAUGGACGAAAGCGUGGGGAGCGAACGGG
Molecule: unclassified non-coding RNA, 253 nt
Filed under: uncultured Candidatus Altimarinota bacterium
Lineage: Bacteria; Candidatus Altimarinota
Description: uncultured Candidatus Gracilibacteria bacterium contains 16S-23S intergenic spacer region
Rfam family: Bacterial small subunit ribosomal RNA
Source: RNAcentral